AUCGCUUCUCGUCCUUUUGGGUAAGAUCAAGUGUAGUAUCUGUUCUUAUCAGUUUAAUAUCUGAUACAUCCCCCAUCGGGGGACCACAUAUUAAACGGAUUUUUGGAACAGGUAUCUGGAUUAAGAGCUUGCUCCAUCCUCCAUCCGGAAUUUCCCUCACGGGAUCAAUAAAG
This is a small nuclear RNA of Lepisosteus oculatus (spotted gar), 173 nucleotides long. Its record names the gene U2. It matches the Rfam family "U2 spliceosomal RNA". From Rfam's summary of the family: U2 is a small nuclear RNA (snRNA) component of the spliceosome (involved in pre-mRNA splicing). Complementary binding between U2 snRNA (in an area lying towards the 5' end but 3' to hairpin I) and the branchpoint sequence (BPS) of the intron results the bulging out of an unpaired adenosine, on the BPS, which initiates a nucleophilic attack at the intronic 5' splice site, thus starting the first of two transesterification reactions that mediate splicing. Lineage: Eukaryota; Metazoa; Chordata; Actinopteri; Semionotiformes; Lepisosteidae. The record is from Ensembl.